Molecule: ribosomal RNA, 254 nt
Filed under: uncultured bacterium
Lineage: Bacteria
Description: partial 16S ribosomal RNA
Rfam family: Bacterial small subunit ribosomal RNA
Source: RNAcentral
UACGGAGGGUGCAAGCGUUAUCCGGAUUUACUGGGUUUAAAGGGUGCGUAGGUGGGUAGGUAAGUCAGUGGUGAAAUCUUCAAGCUUAACUUGGAAACUGCCAUUGAUACUAUUUAUCUUGAAUACUUUGGAGGUAAGCGGAAUAUGUCAUGUAGCGGUGAAAUGCUUAGAUAUGACAUAGAACACCAAUUGCGAAGGCAGCUUACUACACAGUAAUUGACACUGAGGCACGAAAGCGUGGGGAUCAAACAGGG